This 240-nucleotide ribosomal RNA is filed under the name uncultured bacterium. RNAcentral describes it as "partial 16S ribosomal RNA". It matches the Rfam family "Bacterial small subunit ribosomal RNA", at positions 338 to 576 of the family's 1533-position model. The record is from RNAcentral.
CCUACGGGAGGCAGCAGUGGGGAAUUUUGGCAAUGGGGGCAACCUGAUCCGCAAUGCCGCGUGUGUGAAGAAGGCCUUCGGGUUGUAAAGCCUUUUGUCCGGAAAGAAAUCGCCCUGGUUAAUACCUGGGGUGGAUGACGGUACUGAAGAAUAAGCACCGGCUAACACGUGCCAGCAGCCGCGGUAAUACGUAGGGUGCGAGCGUUAAUCGGAAUUACUGGGCGUAAAGCGUGCGCAGGC